Molecule: ribosomal RNA, 460 nt
Filed under: uncultured bacterium
Lineage: Bacteria
Description: partial 16S ribosomal RNA
Rfam family: Bacterial small subunit ribosomal RNA
Source: RNAcentral
CCUACGGGCGGCAGCAGUGAGGAAUAUUGGUCAAUGGACGCGAGUCUGAACCAGCCAAGUAGCGUGAAGGAUGACUGCCCUACGGGUUGUAAACUUCUUUUAUAAAGGAAUAAAGUGAGGCACGUGUGCCUUUUUGUAUGUACUUUAUGAAUAAGGAUCGGCUAACUCCGUGCCAGCAGCCGCGGUAAUACGGAGGAUCCGAGCGUUAUCCGGAUUUAUUGGGUUUAAAGGGAGCGUAGAUGGAUUGUUAAGUCAGUUGUGAAAGUUUUCGGCUCAACCAUAAAAUUGCAAUUGAUACUGGCAGCCUUGAGUACAGUAGAGGUAGGCGGAAUUCGUGGUGUAGCGGUGAAAUGCUUAGAUAUCACGAAGAACUCCGAUUGCGAAGGCAGCUGACUAAACUGCCACUGACAGUGAGGCGCGAAAGUGUGGGUAUCAAACAGGAUUAGAUACCCGGGUAGUC